RNAcentral lists this small RNA (60 nucleotides) under Biostraticola tofi. Its description in RNAcentral is "Pseudomonas sRNA P26". It matches the Rfam family "Pseudomonas sRNA P26". Rfam says of the family: P26 is conserved across many Gammaproteobacteria species and appears to be consistently located between the DNA directed RNA polymerase (beta subunit) and 50S ribosomal protein L7/L12 genes. The record is from Rfam by way of RNAcentral. Lineage: Bacteria; Pseudomonadati; Pseudomonadota; Gammaproteobacteria; Enterobacterales; Bruguierivoracaceae.
AUCUCCCGGAUUGCAGCCUGACAACAGGCUGAUGGCUGGUGGCUUAAUGGUCACCAGCCU